This 253-nucleotide ribosomal RNA is filed under the name uncultured bacterium. RNAcentral's name for it is "partial 16S ribosomal RNA". It matches the Rfam family "Bacterial small subunit ribosomal RNA", at positions 524 to 776 of the family's 1533-position model. The record is from RNAcentral.
UACGGGGGGGGCUAGCGUUGUUCGGAAUUACUGGGCGUAAAGGGCUCGUAGGUGGCCAACUAAGUCAUGCGUGAAAUCCCUCGGCUUAACCGGGGAACUGCGUCUGAUACUGGAUGGCUUGAAUCCGGGAGAGGGAUGCGGAAUUCCAGGUGUAGCGGUGAAAUGCGUAGAUAUCUGGAGGAACACCGGUGGCGAAGGCGGCAUCCUGGACCGGUAUUGACGCUGAGGCGCGAAAGCUAGGGGAGCAAACGGG